Long non-coding RNA from Cucumis sativus (cucumber), 2374 nucleotides. RefSeq lists it as uncharacterized. The transcript has 2 exons. Lineage: Eukaryota; Viridiplantae; Streptophyta; Magnoliopsida; Cucurbitales; Cucurbitaceae. The record is from RefSeq and is a predicted model, not a curated record.
AUUUAUUGUAACCUAGUUUUGUUUCUUUCUUUUUUUUUUUGUUAGGGUUUAUGGUAGCCUAUAUAUAUUCUUCCUCUUGUACACUUUUGAUUAUUAGAAAAUAUCCCUCUUUUUUAUUAUUAGAAACCUUUACUAGGGUUUUCCACUUUUCUUCUAUCCUCGUAUUAGAGGUAGCAUGGUGACAAAACCCUAGCCACCAUCGGACGAAAACCAACCCGUGCAAGAUAACCAAAGCUAUCCACCAACUCCUCACCUUAGCUACAAUUGUUGACGCUGCCGUCAAAGAAGUGGCUGAAGCCACCAUUUUUUUGCUGCCGAUACCGCCACCGUUGAUCAUUAUCUUCAACCCUUUACAAAUCCAUCCAACUCUAGUGCCGCCACAACCCUUUUGUACAUUAUAGUGAGUUGUCCUAGCCAAAACAUACACACCGUGAAAACAAGAUUACUGAGUCGUCCGCCUACCAUAGAGCUAAAUUCCAUGUUGCAGCAACCAGGUUUUGCUCAUCAUGUGUUGCAGUUGGUUUAUAAUGGUUCAACAACAGUUGGCUAAUAUUUUUAUCUUUUUAAUAAGUUUUCAACAACAAAUGGCAACUCUUGAAGCAGCUUUAGGUGCUUCCACAAAUAAUCCGUUUCUGUUGGCCUCCGAACCAAUUGCAAUACAACCGCCUACUCCUACAGGCUACAAUGUUAAUUCCAACAAACAAGGUAGGCAUCAUAAUGUUAACCAACAGCCUUAAAAGGCAUCUAGACAUAAAGCUUACUAUCUUUCCUGCCAAACCAUGGUGGUUAAAGUUGGCACUUUUGCACUCAAAAAGGAUGAACAAAGUAAGUGUUGGUUGUGGAACCCUGUACCUGAUUGUAGGUACACCACUCCCUACCUUCAAAGUUCAAACUUUUUAUUUAAAAAGAAAAAAAGAAAAGGAGAACAUCCAUCCUUCAAACAACUGGCACGGACUGGAAGUUAAAAAAACAAAUUAAAAAUACUAUGCUUGAUAUACAAACCAUUUUGGAUAGUAGCUCCUCACGGUAUGGCCUAUCAUAACCCGUCACCCGAAGGAAAUUUGCAUAUAAUGGUUCAUCUAGCACUUCCAUGUCAUCUCUCUGAGGACAAAAACGGUGCAUAAUAAAUAUGGGAUGAGCAAGAAACAAGUUUUUGUUGAAAAAUUAUGCAAAUAAGCAUUCAAUGUUAUACUAGUUGUAUCUGAACACCUCCAUAUUUAACUUAAGAGCAAGAAGAAUAUCAAAUGGCAUUUUCACUACCAAAUACAAUUCAAAUUCAAUAAUAUAAUAACAUCUCCUAACUUUUCCUCUGUGUUGCAAUGUUUCAGAGUUUUACAAAUUCGUUAGUCCAAUAAAUGUACUUUCAAUUCGUUAAAAGUGAUUAGUCCAGAUGCAUAGCUCUCGUGUCCAAGAAUUUUUUUUUUCUUUUCAACUUUCAUUAUAAAAAAACAAAAAUGUAGAAGGAUAUACAAAAAACCAAAUCCACAAAAAAAGGAACUCAAUUAGAGGGCGCUGCAGCUGUACAAAACAGUACCUAUAGAAUAAUUACAAUCAAAGUAAACCCCAGAGGGAAACAUGAAAUACAAUAAUGGACCAAACAUCAUUUGGAUCCCACCAACCCUCGAAACACUCGGCUAUUCCGUUCAUCUCAAAGAACCCAAAAUAUAGCACACUUCAGCUAGCCACAAGAAAAGACCCUUCUCAGUUCUCACUACGGGGGAAAUGGAGGAGCACUCCUCGUUCUUAUCAAAUAGCGUUACAUUAAGGAACAGAUAAUACAAUAAUAUUCGCUGCUGCCCAAGAUUAAAGAAGAAGAUAGUUAUACUUAUAACAUAUUACUUCAAAAUGCAAACAGGGUUCAAUGAGAAAAGAGGAACGGCUGAGGUUUUUGUCAGACUGCCCAAAAAAAGUACCUUUUUUUCUUCCAAAUUCUAUCCCAGGCGGUAAAAGCAAUAUUAAUCCUCAAAAUCUUUAAAAGAAAAAAAUGAACAAGUAGAAAAUGACUUUCGACUUGACAAUCAAAUUUCCAAUACAGUGGUAAAUUUGUCCCAAGCAGAAAGCAACUAUUACACAAAAGCAGAGAAACCCCAUCAAAUCAUCACCUGUAUAGACAAUUGACCGCCAUGAUAGCAGAGAAAAGACAAUUAAACAAAAAGAAGCAACUCUAGCUGUUUCCAUACCCUUUCCCUUUCCAUUUUUCAGCAACGCAAAAGAGUAAGCAAGCAAUGGACUAUCAGAUUGAGAAUUACUCAGUAAAUCAAAAGCUAAAUCAUUGAGUAACAGACAAUUAUUCACAAUGGGUAAAGAGAAAAGCUAUAAUUCAUUAAAGAAAAAGCAUAACUCAUACAAAAAAAAAAAAAAAAAAAAAAAAAAA